UCCGAGAUGGUGUAAUGGCUAACAUUAGUGCCUCUCACGCACUGGCUCGGGGUUCGAUUCCCCGUCUCGGAA
Dacryopinax sp. is the source of this 72-nucleotide transfer RNA. It matches the Rfam family "tRNA". From Rfam's summary of the family: Transfer RNA (tRNA) molecules are approximately 80 nucleotides in length. Their secondary structure includes four short double-helical elements and three loops (D, anti-codon, and T loops). The record is from Rfam. NCBI's taxonomy places the organism in Eukaryota, Fungi, Basidiomycota, Dacrymycetes, Dacrymycetales, Dacrymycetaceae.